RNAcentral lists this ribosomal RNA (551 nucleotides) under Pseudomonas moraviensis. Its description in RNAcentral is "bacterial SSU rRNA". It matches the Rfam family "Bacterial small subunit ribosomal RNA", at positions 372 to 917 of the family's 1533-position model. The record is from RNAcentral. Lineage: Bacteria; Pseudomonadati; Pseudomonadota; Gammaproteobacteria; Pseudomonadales; Pseudomonadaceae.
UGGAGCAAAGCCUGAUCAGCCAUGCCGCGUGUGUGANAAGGUCUUCGGAUUGUAAAGCACUUUUGUUUGGGAGGAAGGGUUGUAGAUUAAUACUCUGCGGUUUUGACGUUACCGACAAAAUAAGCACCGGCUAACUCUGUGCCACCAGCCCCGGUAAUACAGAGGGUGCAAGCGUUAAUCGGAAUUACUGGGCGUAAAGCGCGCGUACGUGGUUCGUUAAGUUGGAUGUGAAAUCCCCGGGCUCAACCUGGGAACUGCAUCCAAAACUGGGGAGCUAGAGUAUGGUAGAGGGUGGUGGAAUUUCCUGUGUAGCGGUGAAAUGCGUAUAUAUAUGAAGGAACACCAGUGGCGAAGGCGACCACCUGGACUGAUACUGACACUGAGGUGCGAAAGCGUGGGGAGCAAACAAGAUUAAAUACCCUGGUAGUCCACGCCGUAAACGAUGUCUACUAGCCGUUGGGAGCCUUGAGCUCUUANUGGCGCAACUAACGCAUUAAGUUGACCGCCUGGGGAGUACGGCCGCAAGGUUAAAACUCAAAUGAAUUGACGGG